ACUCUCAGGUGCCGUGUCUAUUAUCAUACUCUAUACUGUUAUUCUUUCAUCUUUUCUUCGUAUCAAUACUUUUCUUCUGUCAACUGCGGAGGUCUAGAACUAUAGAAAUAGGGCUUUUUUUGAACUUUUUCUUUUUUGGUUUUGUAUUUUUGUAAAUCAGGGUGGGUCUUUCAAGCAUAGUUGCAUAAUGAUUUAUAGGGGUGCGUUUGUUUGCUUUACAGGUUCUGUUUUUUGCUUUUCUCUACUUUUUAUUCAUGUGUUCUCUUUUAGGGUUAGGGUUUUCUCUCCCUUUUUUAUGCUUGCUUGCAUGGGAUAAUCUCAAGGCCACGGUCAGUGUUUGCGGAUGCAGCAUCAUGAAGAUUCACAAUCUCCAAAAGCUUUUUUUGAGUGGGGGUGGUAUAUGAGGUCCCCUUUACUCGAAAGGCUCCUUUCAUAUGGGAAUCUUGAUGAUGCUGCAUCAGCAGAUAUAUGGCUACUCUUUCCUUUCGAUUUCCAAAGAAACUGAUGUUCAGUUUGAUGUUGAGGAGAGGGUACGUUAAGGAUGCACAGCGAAAACCAUGAAGGAAAAGGAGAUUUGGGAUGAGCAGAAUGUUGAUGGUGAAAGCCCUCUCUAUGGAAAUUAAAUCAAAAGUGGCAAUGCAAGAAGAAAUUAAGGAAAUGGAACUGAUAAGAAAGAGCAACCACUUCAACCAUAGUUGUUAUGUUUUGAGUUUUGAAUGAAACCUCUUUCCAUUUCCAUUUGAUUUUUGUAUCAAAAUAGAGAAAUUAAGUACAAUAUUCAUGCCUCCAUGGAUGAAGAAAACCCACCAUUAAUUUGUAGUAACAGUCUUGCAGGCAUGGUGUUUUUUUUUUUUUUUUGGCCUUUUUCCUGGUACCCUAUUCUAAAAUAUCCCAGACUACAAAAGUUUUCAUUGUGACAUACGGUUUACAGUCAGCUGUCUCAGAAAGAGUGUAUUUUUCUUCCAAGAACUAGGUUUUCCUAGGUUCAGGAGGAGGAAGAUGUGAUAGUUGCAAGACUUCUUCAUGUAAACCAUCUUUGUUUUCUGUCAAACUCCUUUUGCCUAUAGUUACUGACAAAUGCUGAAUAAACUAGCUUUUCUGGUGAUUGACAAAGAGAAUCCAGGAAGAGAAUGUUCCAACUAAAUCAGGUUGGUAUGAAAUUUCAUUGUUUUUAUUU
Molecule: long non-coding RNA, 1177 nt
Organism: Vitis riparia (riverbank grape)
Lineage: Eukaryota; Viridiplantae; Streptophyta; Magnoliopsida; Vitales; Vitaceae
Exons: 2
Source: RefSeq, a predicted model, not a curated record